This is a non-coding RNA of Podarcis lilfordi (Lilford's wall lizard), 74 nucleotides long. The record is from the annotation of a GenBank genome assembly. NCBI's taxonomy places the organism in Eukaryota, Metazoa, Chordata, Lepidosauria, Squamata, Lacertidae.
UGUGGGAUAGCUCAGACAGCAGAGCAUAAGACUCUGAAUCUCAGAGUCCUGGGUUCGAGCGCCACGUUGGGCAA